This 516-nucleotide unclassified non-coding RNA is filed under the name Trichosporon sp. SF19-2. Its description in RNAcentral is "sequence contains ITS1, 5.8S rRNA gene, ITS2". The stretch from base 141 to 294 matches the Rfam family "5.8S ribosomal RNA". Lineage: Eukaryota; Fungi; Basidiomycota; Tremellomycetes; Trichosporonales; Trichosporonaceae. The record is from RNAcentral.
GGGGGACCUGCGGAAGGAUCAUUAGUGAAUUGCUCUUUGAGCGUUAACUACAUCCAUCUACACCUGUGAACUGUUGAUCAACUUCGGUUGAUUGCUUUACAAACAUUGUGUAAUGAACGUCAUGUUAUUAUAACAAAAAUAACUUUCAACAACGGAUCUCUUGGCUCUCGCAUCGAUGAAGAACGCAGCGAAAUGCGAUAAGUAAUGUGAAUUGCAGAAUUCAGUGAAUCAUCGAAUCUUUGAACGCAACUUGCGCUCUCUGGUAUUCCGGAGAGCAUGCCUGUUUGAGUAUCAUGAAAUCUCAACCAUUAGGGUUUCUUAAUGGCUUGGAUUUGGGCGUUGCCAGUAGCCUGGCUCGCCUUAAAAGAGUUAGCGUGUUUAACUUGUCGUAUCUGGCGUAAUAAGUUUCGCUGGAGUAGACUUGAGAAGUGCGCUUCUAAUCGUCUUCGGACAAUUCUUGAACUCUGGUCUCAAAUCAGGUAGGACUACCCGCUGAACUUAAGCAUAUCAUAGGCG